AACGAACGCUGGCGGCGCGCCUAAUACAUGCAAGUCGAGCGAGAAGACGUAGCAAUACGUUUGUAAAGCGGCGAACGGGUGAGGAAUACAUGGGUAACCUACCCUCGAGUGGGGAAUAACUAGCCGAAAGGUUAGCUAAUACCGCGUACGCUCCUUGGACUUCGGCUCAGGGAGGAAAGCGAUACCGUGGGUAUCGCGCUCUUGGAUGGGCUCAUGUCCUAUCAGCUUGUUGGGAGGUAACGGCUCACCAAGGCUUCGACGGGUAGCUGGUCUGAGAGGACAAUCAGCCACACUGGCACUGCGACACGGGCCAGACUCCUACGGGAGGCAGCAGUAAGGAAUAUUGCGCAAUGGGCGAAAGCCUGACGCAGCGACGCCGCGUGGGGGA
RNAcentral lists this ribosomal RNA (388 nucleotides) under uncultured bacterium. RNAcentral describes it as "bacterial SSU rRNA". It matches the Rfam family "Bacterial small subunit ribosomal RNA", at positions 29 to 408 of the family's 1533-position model. The record is from RNAcentral.